This 659-nucleotide ribosomal RNA is filed under the name uncultured fungus. RNAcentral describes it as "eukaryotic LSU rRNA". The stretch from base 170 to 323 matches the Rfam family "5.8S ribosomal RNA". Lineage: Eukaryota; Fungi. The record is from RNAcentral.
GGAGGGAUCAUUACCGAGUUUACAACUCCCAAACCCAUUGAGAACCUUACCUUUGUUGCUUCGGCGGGACUGCCCCGGUGCCUUGCUGCCCGGAUCCAGGCGCCCGCCGGAGACCCCAAACUCUUGUUUUACUAUGAGAAUUUCUGAUUGGCAUAUACAAAUAAAUAAAAACUUUCAACAACGGAUCUCUUGGUUCUGGCAUCGAUGAAGAACGCAGCGAAAUGCGAUAAGUAAUGUGAAUUGCAGAAUUCAGUGAAUCAUCGAAUCUUUGAACGCACAUUGCGCCCGCUAGUAUUCUGGCGGGCAUGCCUGUUCGAGCGUCAUUUCAACCCUCGAGCCCCUCUGGGCUUGGUGUUGGGGUGCGGCCUCCCGCCCUUAGGGCGCGGCCGGCCCCUGAAAAUCAGUGGCGGUCUCGCUGCAGCCUCCCUUGCGUAGUAGCACACCUCGCACUGGAGCGCGGCGCGGCCACGCCGUCAAACGUAGCCCUAGGGCACAAUUUUAUAAGGUUGACCUCGGAUCAGGUAGGGAUACCCGCUGAACUUAAGCAUAUCAAUAAGCGGAGGAAAAGAAACCCAACAGGGAUUGCCCUAGUAACGGCGAGUGAAGCGGCCAACAGCUCAAAUUUGAAAUCUGGCCCUUGGGUCCGAAUUGUAAUUUGC